ACCCUUUCAAACUUUUCCAGAGGAAGUGUGUGGCAGUGGUCAUAUAGAGCCCUCAUCAGACUAGACUAGGUUCAACAAUCAUUUCAACCACCAACUAUUAUGCAACCUUACUUUUCUUCUUUAUCUUUCCAAUCGAAGUCAUUUGUUUAUGGAGGAGGUGAGGACGAUGAUGAAGGAACUGCGAAACCCAUUUUGACGGAGCUUCAAGAGGAGUUCGAGAACUGGGGAUCUCUAAUGGUUAUGGGGCUCGCGACAUCGCUAUUUGUGGAGAUGCCAGGGUUCACGACGGUGGCGUUUCGCGUAGGCACUGGGUUCGACAGUGUUGUCCACAGAGGUUCCUCAUGACGGCGUGACUCGGUGAUGGUAGGAAGGUGGCUUUGUGGAACCAUGGUUGUGUCUAGGAGAAGUUCUACACUGAUGAUUGCAUCUAUCUUAUUUCUCUUUUAAAGGGCGUUUUCUCUUUUCCUGCAUGAAUUUUUUCCAAGCACAGUUUGGAGAGAAGCACUGACACCAGCAUGAAUUUCUUCAAUAAUCAGCAUUGUAUUCUUCCCCUGAGAUAUACUAUCUUGGACUGCCUAUCAUAUGUUCGACUUAUUAGUAUCAGUUGCUGGAAAUUGUCAUGAAGUGAAACCACUCUUUUUAUUGAUGCAAAGUUUGCGAUUCUCUGGUUUCUCUAGCUGAUAUUAGGGAGAGUAUGUAUAGUUCAAAAUCAUUGAAAGAUGAUAUUGAGGCAUUAGGUGGUUGUAAUUCAGUUAGAGGGAUAAAACACUCAGUUAGAGGGAGAAAACACUGGAUGAUUCUUUGGUGCUGCGAAUCAGCGAAAGGAAGAUCCUUCAAUCGGAAAUUAUGCUUCACAGUCAUAAAUCUAAAAUCACUAUUCAUAGGUCCGCAAGGAUGUUUUUGAAAAGGACAACAAAGAGAGUUGAUUAUCUUUUA
Lotus japonicus is the source of this 936-nucleotide long non-coding RNA. RefSeq lists it as uncharacterized. The record is from RefSeq and is a predicted model, not a curated record. The transcript has 3 exons. Lineage: Eukaryota; Viridiplantae; Streptophyta; Magnoliopsida; Fabales; Fabaceae.